RNAcentral lists this ribosomal RNA (253 nucleotides) under uncultured bacterium. Its description in RNAcentral is "partial 16S ribosomal RNA". It matches the Rfam family "Bacterial small subunit ribosomal RNA", at positions 524 to 776 of the family's 1533-position model. The record is from RNAcentral.
UACGGAGGGUGCAAACGUUGCUCGGAAUCAUUGGGCGUAAAGCGCACGUAGGCGGUCUGUUAAGUCGGGUGUGAAAGCCCUGGGCUCAACCCAGGAAGUGCACACGAAACUGACAGGCUUGAGUAUGGAAGAGGGUCGCGGAAUUCCCGGUGUAGAGGUGAAAUUCGUAGAUAUCGGGAGGAACACCAGUGGCGAAGGCGGCGACCUGGGCCAAUACUGACGCUGAGGUGCGAAAUCGUGGGGAGCAAACAGG